GACGAACGCUGGCGGCGUGCUUAACACAUGCAAGUCGAGCGGUAAGGCCCUUUCGGGGGUACACGAGCGGCGAACGGGUGAGUAACACGUGGGUGACCUGCCCUCAGCUCUGGGAUAAGCCUGGGAAACCGGGUCUAAUACUGGAUAUGACUCCAUGACGCAUGUUGUGGGGUGGAAAGCCUUGUGCGGCUGAGGAUGGGCCCGCGGCCUAUCAGCUUGUUGGUGGGGGAUGGCCUACCAAGGCGACGACGGGUAGCCGGCCUGAGAGGGCGACCGGCCACACUGGGACUGAGACACGGCCCAGACUCCUACGGGAGGCAGCAGUGGGGAAUCUUGCGCAAUGGGCGAAAGCCUGACGCAGCGACGCCGCGUGAGGGAUGACGGCCUGG
Molecule: ribosomal RNA, 389 nt
Filed under: uncultured bacterium
Lineage: Bacteria
Description: bacterial SSU rRNA
Rfam family: Bacterial small subunit ribosomal RNA
Source: RNAcentral